CCUACGGGCGGCAGCAGUGGGGGAUAUUGCACAAUGGGGGAAACCCUGAUGCAGCGACGCCGCGUGUGGGAAGACGGUCCUCUGGAUUGUAAACCACUGUCCCCAGGGACGAAGAUGACGCUACCUGGGCAGGAAGCUCCGUCUAACUACGUGCCAGCAGCCGCGGUAAUACGUAGGGAGCGAGCGUUGUCCGGAAUUACUGGGUGUAAAGGGAGCGUAGGCGGGACUGCAAGUUGGGUGUCAAAUCUACCGGCUCAACCGGUAGCCGCACUCAAAACUGCAGUUCUUGAGUGAAGUAGAGGCAGGCGGAAUGCCUGGUGUAGCGGUGAAAUGCGUAGAUAUUAGGAGGAACACCAGUGGCGAAGGCGGCCUGCUGGGCUUUUACUGACGCUGAGGCUCGAAAGUGUGGGGAGCGAACAGGAUUAGAUACCCUAGUAGUC
This 440-nucleotide ribosomal RNA is filed under the name uncultured bacterium. RNAcentral describes it as "partial 16S ribosomal RNA". It matches the Rfam family "Bacterial small subunit ribosomal RNA", at positions 338 to 795 of the family's 1533-position model. The record is from RNAcentral.